RNAcentral lists this ribosomal RNA (280 nucleotides) under uncultured bacterium. Its description in RNAcentral is "partial small subunit ribosomal RNA". It matches the Rfam family "Bacterial small subunit ribosomal RNA", at positions 26 to 285 of the family's 1533-position model. The record is from RNAcentral.
AGAACGAACGCUGGCGGCGUGGAUAAGACAUGCAAGUCGAACGCUGAUUUCAGGGUAGCAAUAUUUUGAAAUUGGAGUGGCGCAAGGGUGUGUAACACGUGGGCAAUCUGCCGUGAAGCCUGGGAUAACUUGCUGAAAGGCGAGCUAAUACCGGAUGUGAAAAUUAGAAGGCAUCUUUAGAUUUUCAAAGUUGGGGACCGCAAGGCCUGACGCUUUACGAUGAGCCCGCGGCCUAUCAGCUAGUUGGUGGGGUAAAAGCCCACCAAGGCUAAGACGGGUA